This 694-nucleotide long non-coding RNA is filed under the name Olea europaea subsp. europaea. The record is from RNAcentral. Lineage: Eukaryota; Viridiplantae; Streptophyta; Magnoliopsida; Lamiales; Oleaceae.
UGCUAUUUUGAGAUUGAAAGUUUUGAGUUAUAAAUUGAUUUUGUUGCAGAGGUUAUGAAAGUGCUGAGAUCAAAGAAAAAUGCAAAGAUGAAGAAAAACUUGUCAGAAUCAAUUGCCAAUUUGAAGAUGAAUUUGCUAAAGCUGUUGAUGGUGUUGGAAUGGUGACGGUGGUGGUGCGGCACUUGGUUGUUGAUGGUGUUGGAGGGGUGAUGGUGGUGCUAUGGUUGCAGAAGCGCCUCGUGCAGUAAAUGGUGGUGGCGGUUAGGCGAUGGUUUACAUGUUUUGCAAGGGGUUUUUGUUGGUGGCGUCGUGGGUUUUGUUUGGUUGGUUCAAAGAGUGUUGUUUUGUUAUGUGCUUUGUUGGGGGCAGUGGUGAUGCUGGUGGUGGCGGCGGCGUGGUCGGUGGUUGUGCGGUGGUGUUGUGUGGUGUGGUGCAGCUAUUAGUUAUGUUUUGGUGGUCGUUUUUGUUGUUGGCGAUGGUCGUGGUGGUGUUGUGGUGGGGUCGGGGUAUAGUAGGAGGAAAUGGUGAUCGUGACAAACUAUUUGGUUGCUCUGUGACCAAACAUUGGUGGUGAAUUGGGAUUGAGAUUGGAGUGUUUGGUAUAUGUGACCAACGAUUUGGUUUGUGACCUUAAAAUUUAAUAAUAUGUGACUUCAACGAUUUGGUCCGCGACUUUUGGACUAAAACAUACAUG